Molecule: ribosomal RNA, 252 nt
Filed under: uncultured Bacteroidales bacterium
Lineage: Bacteria; Pseudomonadati; Bacteroidota; Bacteroidia; Bacteroidales
Description: partial 16S ribosomal RNA
Rfam family: Bacterial small subunit ribosomal RNA
Source: RNAcentral
UACGGAGGAUGCGAGCGUUAUCCGGAUUUAUUGGGUUUAAAGGGUGCGUAGGCGGGACCUUAAGUCAGCGGUAAAAUUGCGGUGCUCAACGCCGUAGAGCCGUUGAAACUGGGGUUCUUGAGUGAGCGAGAAGUAUGCGGAAUGCGUGGUGUAGCGGUGAAAUGCUUAGAUAUCACGAAGAACUCCGAUUGCGAAGGCAGCCUGCUGGACUGUAACUGACGCUGAUGCUCGAAAGUGUGGGUAUCAAACAGG